GACGAACGCUGGCGGCGUGCUUAACACAUGCAAGUCGAACGGUGAAGCGCCUUCCUUUUUGGUGGGUGUGGAUGAGUGGCGAACGGGUGAGUAACACGUGAGUAACCUGCCCCCUUCUUCUGGAUAACCGCAUGAAAGUGUGGCUAAUACGGGAUAUUCUGGGUCUGUCGCAUGAUGGGUCUGGGAAAGAUAUUGUUUCGGUGGGGGAUGGGCUCGCGGCCUAUCAGCUUGUUGGCGGGGUGAUGGCCUACCAAGGCGGUGACGGGUAGCCGGCCUGAGAGGGUGGACGGUCACACUGGGACUGAGACACGGCCCAGACUCCUACGGGAGGCAGCAGUGGGGAAUAUUGCACAAUGGGCGCAAGCCUGAUGCAGCGACGCCGCGUGAGGGAUGGAGGCCUUCGGGUUGUGAACCUCUUUCGCCAGUGAAGCAGGCCUGCCUCGUUUGUGGGUGGGUUGACGGUAGCUGGAGAAGAAGCGCCGGCUAACUACGUG
RNAcentral lists this ribosomal RNA (494 nucleotides) under uncultured bacterium. Its description in RNAcentral is "partial 16S ribosomal RNA". It matches the Rfam family "Bacterial small subunit ribosomal RNA", at positions 28 to 507 of the family's 1533-position model. The record is from RNAcentral.